GCGUGGCCGCCAUCUUGCUGCCCAAAUCACACAUAAUCCCUGCCUACCCAUAGCUCUGGGAGCUAUAUCUGAGGAACUUCCUCCUGGCUCCUUGCUCUGCACAUUGCAAUAAAAUUACUUUCUCUUUCUCAAAGACCGGUGUCUAGAUAAUUGGCAACUGUGAGCGCACUGGGCAAGGACCCACCUUCCUGGGUUUGGUAACACUACCAGAAGCUGGGAGAGAGGCAUAGGACAGAUUCUCCCUCAGAACCUCAGAAGCAGUCACAGGAAACUAACAGAAGCAGAAGAACAUUUAAGGAAGAUUGUGUGAAUGAUGGUGUCACCAUUGAAACAGGGGAAAUUGCAGGAGGAGAAGGAGGAAUGUGAGUAGGACCAGUGUCCUAUAAAGAGGAGAAGAGACGCAGACGGACAGACACAUGGGGGAAGGACGCCACGUGAAGAUGCAUCUCCACCCUGAGAAUGCCUGGGACUGCCAGAAGCUGGGAGAAACAAGAAAGGAUCUUCCCAUAGAGACUUCAGAGGGAGCAUGGCCUGGCUGACACCCUGAAUUUGGACUUCUGGCCUCCAGAACUGUGAGAGAAUAAAUCUGUUCUCAUAAGCCUCCCAGUUUGUAGAUUUUGUUAUGGCAGCUCUAGAAGACUAAUACAAAUCGCCAAUAAUUUCAUAGGACACAACUAGAUUCUAAAGCUAGGGAUGAGUGAACUUCGGGCUAUUUCUAACCAAACAAAUAAAUAAAGGCUGUAGCAGGAUUCUGGGAAUAAGCUUUUCCACUAAGUCAACAAAGAAAUUCCAUCUGUAGUCGCUUUCAUCUAUACCUUCUGGAAAAUUGAAUUUAAUUCACUGGGUGUCCACCGAGGACUUUCCCUGUGCCUGGGCCCAACGCUGGGCCCGACACUGGGCUAGAUGUGCAGAGACUACACAACCCCUGGCCCCGUGGUCUUGUCUAGGAGACAAUAGUGUCAGCACCCAGUUGUGGUACAAGGCAGCAUGAGAGGAGUCCUCUAAAGUGGAAUCCAGGCGUGAGGGAUUCUGGAAGUUUCCACUGAGGAGAUGUCCUUGGUGUAGGGCUGGAAGAAUAGGGAAGAUUUUCAUGAUGGAGUCUGUGAGGCAGGGGUUCCAGGUUAAGUAGACAGAGGCGCAGGGUAGGGAGCUACAACAGGGUACCCAACAUCCAUGGUCUGUUGGAGGGCCAGGCACUGUGCCCAGUGAAUGCUGUGUUAGUUGAACUGGGUCACAAUCAGAAGGUCAGAACCAUUCCAGCAGGCACCAGUGUGGGCCAGCCCCAGCAAGAGGUAGUCAGAACAAUCCAUCCGUCAAAAUCCAGAAGGCAAUUUCAUUUCUUGAGAACACACCCAAGUGUCAACUGGAUUCAUGUCAACAGCAAAACUGCCCGGGGUCCCUUUCCCAGCUCUCAGGUUCAUGUCUCAGUUAUCCCAUGUCUCUGCCAACUUCCUUCUCAGCUGGCCUACAAAUUCUCCCUCAAAGCCAGCUCUUGUUUUUUCCUCCCCCUCCCCCCAUCUUUGCUUUUUUGCUUUUUCUUUCUAAUUUUUUUCCACCAGUAACUUCCUUUUGCGAUGUUGACUCAGCUUCACGCCCUUUGUUGGGGAGGCAAGAGCUGCUGAGGUGGGUGGAGCUGGCAGCGACAGCGCAGAGGCGAGGGGGCACAGGCACACCCACGUAUGGAGAUCUGAGGGCAGGGGUGCAGAGCAGUAACCGACAGUGAUGGGAGCACUGAACAGUGCUCCGAAUAGUUCUCUCUCAUCUGAUGCCACACAACCCUACAAAGGUGAUGUCUUGAUCUCCACUUUACAGAUAAAGAA
Molecule: long non-coding RNA, 1820 nt
Organism: Trichechus manatus latirostris (Florida manatee)
Lineage: Eukaryota; Metazoa; Chordata; Mammalia; Sirenia; Trichechidae
Exons: 3
Source: RefSeq, a predicted model, not a curated record